This is a long non-coding RNA of Hypanus sabinus (Atlantic stingray), 789 nucleotides long. RefSeq lists it as uncharacterized. The record is from RefSeq and is a predicted model, not a curated record. The transcript has 3 exons. Lineage: Eukaryota; Metazoa; Chordata; Chondrichthyes; Myliobatiformes; Dasyatidae.
UUACUGAAAUCUUUAAUACACAACAGGGUGUUUGACCGUGCAAGUGUGUGUGAGCAGAGUGCACAGCAUACAGCCCUGAGGGGCACCGGAGUUGAGGAUGAUGGGGAGGGGGAAGUGGUUAUGCAAUCUGACUAUCUGAGAUCUGUUAGUUAAGGCCAACACCCAGUUGCCCAGUGGUGCAUUUAGACCGAGGAGCAGGAGUUUGUUCACCAAGGUCUGUGGGACAAUAGUGUUGAAUGCUGAACUGAAAUCCAGAAACAGCAAACUGACGUAAGUGUCCUUGUUUCCUAGGAGUGUCAGGGCCAGGUGCUUGACAGAUGCGAUGGCACCUGUUGGUAGAGCGUUUCUGUCGAACGUGGUGUUACAGAGCAUGUGCACAGCAGCAGACGAUAAGGUGCAAGGCCAAGGUUGACAGCUGGCUGACGUUAUUUUUGGUUUGCUGCUGGCGGCAAAUUUAAGUUUGGCGUUUUUCAUAAAUACAAGAAGGACUCAAAUAGACGUUGAGUAUUUUACUUAAAAGUAACCUUCAACCCAACGUCUUUUUUUCGGAGUUCAAAAUGUUUUUGUUGCAUGCAGAAAUGUAAUUUCGUUUUCUCUGCAGGAGUUCAUCAAUUCCAUAAAUGCAACACAUUAUAGUUUGUUUAUACAUAGCAUAAAGGCAAAACUAAAUGUUGUAUGCAGUGUUAUUUCAUUUUAAAUGUCAAAUGGGUUUUGCGGCUCCCAGUGUUUUCUUUUCUGUGGGAAACGGGUCCAAGUGGCUCUUUCAGUGGUAAAGGUUGCUGACCCCUG